Gasterosteus aculeatus aculeatus (three-spined stickleback) is the source of this 251-nucleotide long non-coding RNA. Lineage: Eukaryota; Metazoa; Chordata; Actinopteri; Perciformes; Gasterosteidae. The record is from Ensembl.
ACGACCUGCAGCUGUUCGUAUCUUCCCUCCCCUCUUGGUGCAGAGGCGAGGCAGACGCCCCGAGGAGGAAUCGGGCCGAUGGCGGCUGCUCCCCGGACUCUCUGGUCAGAGGUCAGAGGUGCAGUGACACCUGCUGCAGAGGGACGGAGGAUUAGUUCGUUAUUCACACAUUCGUGUUUUUGACUCAUAAUGACGCCUCUGUGAUCUGAGAUGAAAAAAAGCUGCUUUUCUGGAGACGUUCCUUUGUUUUC